Molecule: long non-coding RNA, 3843 nt
Organism: Pangasianodon hypophthalmus (striped catfish)
Lineage: Eukaryota; Metazoa; Chordata; Actinopteri; Siluriformes; Pangasiidae
Exons: 3
Source: RefSeq, a predicted model, not a curated record
CUCUCUCUUUCUCUUUCUCUGUGUCUCUGUCAUGGAGACAGGUGCUUUGCUGAGGCCCUGUGGUUGUGGUUGGAGGCUUUGCUUCUUCUCUGCGAAUGAGGGGAACUGUGUGUAUGUGUGUGAGAAUGUGUGUGUGUGAAAGAGAGAGAGACAGAGAGGGAGAGAGGGAGAGAGUUUGAGAGAGAGAGAGAGAGAGAGAGAGUUUUGCAGAGUACAACGUGCGGAAUUCUGCAUCGGUUGACAUUCACGCAGACACUACUUUCGUGACAAGCUCAGAUCUGGUUUCCGUCUGUGAGAUGUGUGGGUGUCUGUGAACCUCUCUCUCACUCCCCCUCUCUCUCUCUCUCCCCCUCUCUCUUUCUUUUGCAGUGUGUGUAUAUACUUAUACAAAAAAAGCAUCUUCUUAUAGUAGGGAAAGUGCAUCCUUGAAAUCGGCAUAAAGUCUCUACAUACUCAGACUUUUAGAAGAAAAAAUGUGAAGAAGUGUUGUUGUUAUUGUUGUUUUAUACAGUUAAUAGAAAAUAUUAUCAAAAUGGUCAAGACGUUCUAUGAAGGUUAGCACAAUAUUUCUGCAUUAUAAGUUACACAACUGGACCUUUAAGGACGUUAAAACCACUUUAAGUUUGCAUUAGCAUUGUUUGUCUCUCCACUGAGGUUUGUCUGUCCAUUUCAGCUUUCUGUCAAUUUUUAGUGCAUUUCUGACUCCAUAGUUUGAAAAGGUUGUGUAUUUAGCAUAUUUAUGAUUACUUCCUGGUUAGUGAUAUUCAUAAGCUUCAUUAUGUUUUGACUAUUUCCUGUUAAGUCGUAUUUCUUGAGUUAGUCAUUGUAUGCAAAAUUGACAUCUUUGCAAGUGAAAAUAUCUUGAAUAUAGUUAAAUUUAUCUAGAAAGUCCAAACCAAAUAUAAGAUUAUUAAACCUAUUUUUAGACUUUUUUUUUUUUUUACUAAUUUCAAGCUUUACAUUUUCUAGAAAUAACUGCUAUCUACCAGUAGAAGAAGACUACUUCAAGCUUAAAAUGAGUAAAAGUCUAAAAAAAAAUUCAAAGUCUAACAAUAUAUUUCCACUUGCUAAGAGGUAAAGUUUUCUGCAGUGUUCCCCUUUGAUUGCAUGUGAAACUACGCUGACAGUUGAGGAAAAAAAAUGCCUAAUAUGAAGGCAAAUGCAAAAACUAGUAAUUUCCAAGGACAAUGGUAAAGUCCAGAUGAUGAGGCUGCGCUAUAAAGUCUGGGUGUGAAUAAUGGUGGUUGGUGUUUUAUUUGGUUUGUUUAGUUAAAUUCAGAUCAUGUGAUUGUUGGGAGGCAGGAGGGUGUUGACGAGCCUGGUAGUAGUGAUAUCUUUGUUUGGUAUCUAUUCAAUAUACUUUGUUUGGUAUGACACAAUUCUGGUAGCUUUGCAGAUGCAGCAAUUUUGGUAAGUAGACUCCAAUGGUGCUCUCUGUUGUUUCAUUGUAGGGCCUUGCAAUAUGUUACAAUUCCCAUACGCUCUUGGUAAAAAGGUACAAACUCUUGUCACUGAGUUGGUACCCAAAGGGAGGAACAUCAUUAAGGUACACAACUGAACCAAAAAGACAGCUUUUGUACUUUUGUUUGUUUUUACAGUACCUGAACAGUACCUUUAUUUCUAGGACAGGGAGGUUUGCUCCACUCUGUCACCACAGGAAAGGGAGACAUCAAGGCUUUUUUUGUUAAGGCAGGUAGUCUUGAAGGUCCCACUGAUGACUUGUUCAAUAUUCAAGCCAACGUACUUAGAGCAGAUGUCUGUGCACAUCAGUGUCUCUACAGUGGCGCCAUUGAUGUGCAGUGGAAAGUGACCGCUGUGAGUAAAGGCAACAAUAAUAUAUUUUGUUUUGACCACAUUAAGAAGCAGAAUUGUUGUGUCUAUAUCAGUCUGCAAGCUGCUCCAUUUCUUAUCUGUAUGCUGACUCAUCAUUGUUGCUAAUUAGCUGCACAAUGUGUCAUCAGAAAACUCGACGAUGUGAUUCCAGCAAUGCUUUUCAGCAGUCGUGAGUCAGCCAUGUGAACAGCAAGGGGUCCAAGUAUACGGCCCUGGGAGACUCCAGUGCUCACUGUGGUGGUGCUGGUGGUGAAAAAAGGUCUGCCAGUCAAAAAGUUCUAGGGGAAGAAUUUCCCUAUCAGUGUCUGUUGCGUGACGCUGAAUUGAAGUCAUUGAAGAGCAUUUUCAUUUUCACUGCUGGGUCCUUGAGCAAGGCCCUCAACCAUCAACUGCUCUGUUGUAGCUCGGGAUAAGGGUGCCUGCUAAAUGCCAUAAGUGUAAAUAUGUGAUAUAAUGUUACCAUCUUAGCACAUCCUGAUUUGGUCAUUUUAUUCCACUCUUCCUUGCAAAAAUGCUCCAGAUUGCCAGGGGAUCUCCUAUGCACAGACCUCUUCAAGUCAUUCCACAGGUUUACAAUAGGAUUUUGUUCUGGGCUCUGAGUGGGCCAUUCCAAAACAUUGAUCUUCUUCUGAAGCCUCUCCUUUGCUGACUUGGAUUUGUGCUUUGGGUCUUCAUCGUGCUGGAAGGUGAAAUUUUUAUUCAUCUUCAACUGUGCCAAAAUAGAUUGGUAUUUGGAGCUAUCCAUGAUUCCCUCGACCUUGACUAGAGCCCCAGUCCCAGCUGAAGAGAAGCAGCCCCAUAGCAUGAUGCUGUCACCACCAUGCUUCACUUAUAUAAUGAUUCAUGGAAAAACCCGCAGAUACUUCAUGAGAACAUUGAAUCCACUGAGGCUCCCUCAGCGAGCAUGGAAAAUGUCUUCAAGGCCAAAAGCUUCAGCUGAGUGUUUAGAAGAUCUGCAGGAUUUAGAGACAUCUGUAAUGCUGAGGAUACAGAAGAUAACACAUGGAUUUCUGCUAAUCCUUUAAUGUUUCACUCUGUGUGUGUGUGUGUGUGUGUGUGUGUGUGUGUGUGUGCGUGUGCACCUCAGGGGUAUAAACACUUGUGUUCUUCAUCUGUUCCUUCUCUUUAGCCGGGGGAUCAGAGCAGUGGAGAUGCUUAAUCACCAGUUCUGGGAUAUCUCUCUCUCUCUCUCUCUCUCUUUCACUCUGUGUGUGUGUGUGUGUGUGUGUGUGUGUUCACCCAUACCUUAAUAAGUUAGCCUGGUUAGACUGUGAUAUCUUUCAGAUUGCUGACCCACAUUUUCCACAAAUUUGCUUUAAAUUUUAUAUAAAUAAAUAUUCGUUUUCCGUACAUUGACCUUAAUGUGCAGUCUGCUUUUAUAAUCUCUGUGGCUAUGAGUGUAAAAGCCGCAACUUGCCCCUCUUUCCCACAACCAAAUCAUGUCAAAAAGCAAUUAAUAUCUUAAUACCUCCAUCAGUCUGCAAUGGGGCCAGUGCCCUCACCUCUCUCACUCUCGCUUUCUCUCUAUUUCUUUUCCAUGCUUUUUUCCCCUCCAUCAGACGGUGGUUUCCCUGAGGUCCUGGUGGUCAGAUGUGGUUUUCGGGGCACAAGGACUCUGACUGCGGCCAGUGUGGUCUUUUACCUCGGCCAGUUAAGCACUCAGAAGAGAGAGAGAGGCAGAGAGACCACAGGUCUCGAAUCUUAGUCCUCUAAUGCAGUGUCCAUCUCACCAUCCAUUUCCUUAAAGAUGGCGGCGGCUUCAGUCUCCUUCAGAGAGCUUGUUUUUUGCUGUGGUUUCAGCACAGACGUGAUGACACAGUGCAAACCUUUAGACAAAGGUCUGUUUUAGACAAAAUAUUUAUCACUAAUUGCUCACUUCCAGCUGUGCUAAGAGGAGGAAGUCGUUUAAAGCAGGGACGUUUUUAGCAGCACCGUAUUUAUUUUGCCACGCGUGUCCUUUGGCAGGGGCAGUAGGAAACUUGUGGAUGGCCUUGGCAAUGUGCGCAAUGC